AGUGAACGCUGGCGGUAGGCCUAACACAUGCAAGUCGAACGGCAGCACAGUAAGAGCUUGCUCUUACGGGUGGCGAGUGGCGGACGGGUGAGGAAUACAUCGGAAUCUACUUUUUCGUGGGGGAUAACGUAGGGAAACUUACGCUCAUACCGCAUACGCCCUACGGGUGAAAGCGGUGGAUCUUCGGACCUUGCGCGGUUGAAUGAGCCGCUGUCGGAUUAGCUAGUUGGCGGGGUAAAGGCCCACCAAGGCGACGAUCCGUAGCUGGUCUGAGAGGAUGGUCGGCCACACUGGAACUGAGACACGGUCCAGACUACUACGGGAGGCAGCAGUGGGGAAUAUUGGACAAUGGGCGCAAGCCUGAUCCAGCCAUACCGCGUGGGUGAAGGAGGCCUUCGGGUUGUAAAGCCCGUUUGUUGGGAAAGAAAAGCAGCAGGUUAAUACCCCGCUGUUCUGACGGUACCCAAAGAAUAAGUACCGGCUAACUUCGUG
RNAcentral lists this ribosomal RNA (492 nucleotides) under uncultured bacterium. RNAcentral's name for it is "partial 16S ribosomal RNA". It matches the Rfam family "Bacterial small subunit ribosomal RNA", at positions 29 to 507 of the family's 1533-position model. The record is from RNAcentral.